GACGAACGCUGGCGGCACGCCUUACGCAUGCAAGUCGAACGGCAGCACGGGUGCUUGCACCUGGUGGCGAGUGGCGAACGGGUGAGUAAUACAUCGGAACGUACCUUAUCGUGGGGGAUAACGCAGCGAAAGCUGUGCUAAUACCGCAUACGCCCUGAGGGGGAAAGCGGGGGAUCGCAAGACCUCGCGCGAUUAGAGCGGCCGAUGCCUGAUUAGCUUGUUGGUGGGGUAAAAGCCCACCAAGGCGACGAUCAGUAGCUGGUCUGAGAGGACGAUCAGCCACACUGGGACUGAGACACGGCCCAGACUCCUACGGGAGGCAGCAGUGGGGAAUUUUGGACAAUGGGGGCAACCCUGAUCCAGCAAUGCCGCGUGAGUGAAGAAGGCCUUCGGGUUGUAAAGCUCUUUUGUCAGGGAAGAAACAGCAGCUCUAACACAGUUUGCGAAUGACGGUACCUGAAGAAUAAGCACCGGCUAACUACGUGCCAGCAGCCGCUGUAA
This 501-nucleotide ribosomal RNA is filed under the name uncultured bacterium. RNAcentral describes it as "partial 16S ribosomal RNA". It matches the Rfam family "Bacterial small subunit ribosomal RNA", at positions 28 to 523 of the family's 1533-position model. The record is from RNAcentral.